AGGGAAAAGACACGACCUAAGUUGGGUAUCCAUUGGAACAGUAACUCCCAUUAACAAGUGCUGCUUUCUUCGUAUUUUUCAGACGGAGCCAUUUUCACUUUCCGUUCACCCGCAGAGAAUAAAAGUCCUCAGGAGCUAGAAUUUUAUAGGGGCAUAAUUUGGUAUCUCGCGAAUUUUCUUCAGGUCUGAAAGCACUCAGCUCCAUUAUGACUUCCGCAGUUCUUACCCUCUCAGAUAAUAGUGAGGCUUAUGAGCAACAAAAGUACUCAGAGCCUCAGAUCCAGUCUAAUGCGACGUCUCAUUCUGGUACUGCGUUUCCAAAUAUGAAUUAUGCAAUGCCCGCUCAACUUAGUGCUGAAAAUGCUGUGGUACUAUUUGAUUCACUGUUUUUGCUUUAAAAUGCAACGGCAAGUAUACCAUCCUGACAAUUAGAAGUGCUGCUAUCGAGAUAUAUUUAGCUAAUUUUAUGCUUAAGUUCUGAUGUUAAGCUGAACGGUGAGCAUUGAUGAUUACUUGUUCUCAUUCUUCAUCACUAUUGAAAAAUUAAAUUUUGCAGGCACAAACACCUUAUUCAUAUUCAGAUCCUUACUAUAGAAGUAUCUUUGCUCCUUAUGAUGCACAACCUUAUCCUGCGCAGCCUUAUCCAGCCCAACCAAUGUUAUUCCUUGUGAUAAAGCUCAUGUGAAUGGAACUAGCCUGUAGAUUUGAAAUUUUGAGUUCAACUCUUCCUCAAUUUAGGUCUUCUUCACUUAAACAACCUAUCUGCUCUUCGAGCACCUGUUUCUCCCCUUCAGUUGAUGGGAAUUCAUCAAGUUGUUGUUCCUUUGCCAUUGGAUGCCGAUGAGGAGCCUGUAUUUGUCAAUGCAAAGCAAUAUCAUGGCAUCUUGUGACGUCAACAAUCUCGUGCAAAGGCUGAGUCUGAGAAUAAAGUUGUCAAGCCCCAAAAGGAAUUUUAUGGGAUUGACUCCUGGCCUGUUGUUGCAUUUCUCUAUUACUUCAUCCAUUUGAUUCAAUCCAAAUUUUGCUUUGAUACACAAUCUUAGUACCACUCCAACAAGGUGACUUGUGCUGUCUUAUUUUCUGGUUCAUUGAUCCAGCUCUUUUGCACACCUAUCAAAACAUGAAGAUGCACACUACACGGAUCUUCAUGCCACAGGGGCGUUGCCCCUGCACCCCCAACCUAUUAAGCAUCAAGCAUCCCUGGCAAACAAUCAAUAAAUACAUGCCCGAAAGGUUGACGCUGUCAAUCCGCUCCGUUGCGUUCAAUGCGUUCCACUCUGACAUUGUCCUAUUUUUCUAGUAUACAUGUUUUCCACUCUAUAUGAAGCACAUAUUAUAAUAGGAGAUAAAUCAUUUUAUGGGAAAGGGAGAACAGCAAUGAAUAUUUUCUUUCCUUCCUAAUCAUGUGAUUUUUCAAAAUCUAAAAUCUUUUGUGGAGAGAAAUCAUUCCCUCCCAUUUUCCUUCAUACACAAUCAAUGGAAACCAUUUUUAUCUUUCAUAUUUUCUUUCCUGGUCAUUCAGUCUUUCCAGCUUUCCACCUUAUCAAACACAUUCUAUUGGGACCAAGCGAAGAAAUGCCUCUACUCUCUUCGAUUUUUUGCCCUAUUUGGAUGAAUCUCGACAGUUGCAUGCUGUGAGAAGGGCUCGAGAAGGAGGUCAAUUUAAAAGGAAGAGUGAGAACCAGCAGCAGGAGUAUG
This is an RNA transcript of Olea europaea var. sylvestris, 1698 nucleotides long. RefSeq lists it as uncharacterized. The record is from RefSeq and is a predicted model, not a curated record. The transcript has 4 exons. Lineage: Eukaryota; Viridiplantae; Streptophyta; Magnoliopsida; Lamiales; Oleaceae.